UGAUUAUAAUAUUAUUAUUUAAUUUAUUUAAUUUAUUUAAAUAAAAGUUUAUAUUUUCUAAGUAUAUUUUAUAGAAUUGUUUAUUUUAAUUAUAGUUUAUUUUACUGUAAGGGUUAUUUUGUUUUCAUAUAGAAGCUUAUUUUAAUUUAUAGUACCUUUGGUAUCAGGGAUUAUCAAUAAAGUAUUAUAUAUAUAAUAUUUCUCGAAAAUGAAAGAGUUAAAUUUAUAUGGAUUUUUAUGUUUUAUAAUAAUAUUUAAUAUAAAUUUAGGGGUUAUAUGCUAUACAAUUUUAUUAUAUCUAGUUUUUUAAUAUUUGAAUUUAAUUCAUAAUUAUUAAGUUAUAUAUUUUACUUUAAUUUAUUUUAAUUUAAUAAUUAAUUGUUAUGGGGGAUUAGCUCUAUGAUAUUUUUAUAAUAUUUUCUAAAUCUAUAUUUUUGUAGGCUUGAUAACUGCCAUCUUAAAUUUCGUUAUAGUUUAUUUAUAUUUAGUUUUUAUUUAUUAAUUAUUUAAUUUAUUAUUAAAAUUAUGAAUAUAUUAAUUAUUUUUAUUUAAUAAUGAUAAUAUUAGUAGUUUAGUAAAUUAGGGUUAUAAUAAUUCGGCAAUUUUUAUUUCCGCCUGUUUAACAAAAACAUGUUUUAUUGAUUAUUUAUUUUAAAUUUAACCUGCUCGGUGAUUAUUAUUAAACAGCCGCAGUAUAUUGACUGUGCAAAGGUAGCAUAAUAAUUUGUCUCUUAAUUAGAGUCUUGUAUGAAUGGUUGGACGAGAUAUAGUCUUUUUUUAUUUUAUCUUUGUGAAUUUGAUUUUUUAGUGAAAAAGCUGAAAUGUUUUUAUGGGACGAGAAGACCCUAUAGAAUUUUAUUUUUGUUAUAUUUCUUUGAUUUAUUUUAAAUUAUGGGUUUUAUAAUUCAAAAAUUUGAUUGGGGUGAUUUUGGAAUUUUAUUAACUUCCAUUUAUUUUAUUUCAAUAAUUAUUGUUAUUUUUGAUCCUGUAUUAUGGAUUAUUAGACAAAAUUACCUUAGGGAUAACAGCGUUAUUCUUUUGGAGAGUUCUUAUUGAUGAAAGAGUUUGCGACCUCGAUGUUGGAUUAAAGAUAGCUCUGGGUGUAGAAGUUCAGUGGCUAGGUCUGUUCGACCUUUAAAUCUUUACAUGAUCUGAGUUCAGACCGGUGUGAGCCAGGUUGGUUUCUAUCUAUAAAUUUAUUUUAAUAUUUUAGUACGAGAGGACCAUUUAUUAAUAAUAUUUAUUAAUGUUUUGUUUUAUAUUA
Molecule: ribosomal RNA, 1264 nt
Filed under: Harmostica fulvicornis
Lineage: Eukaryota; Metazoa; Arthropoda; Insecta; Hemiptera; Rhyparochromidae
Description: 16S ribosomal RNA
Rfam family: Archaeal large subunit ribosomal RNA (bases 828-1194)
Source: RNAcentral